CACAGGUUUGGUCCCAGCCUUACUGUUAGCCCCCAGUAAACUUACACAUGCAAGCAUCCACAUCCCGGUGAGAAUACCCUCCAAGUCAACAAGACUAAGAGGAGUGGGCAUCAAGCACACGCUCGUAGCUCAUGACGCCUUGCUUAACCACACCCCCACGGGAGACAGCAGUGACAAAAAUUAAGCCAUAAACGAAAGUUUGACUAAGUUAUAUUAAUUAAGGGUUGGUAAAUUUCGUGCCAGCCACCGCGGCCAUACGAUUAACCCAAGCUAACAGGAGCACGGUGUAAAACGUGUUUAAGCACUUCAUCGAAUAGAGUUAAAAUUUAAUUAAACUGUAAAAAGUCAUAAUUACAAUAAAAAUAGAUAACGAAAGUAACCCUACAAUAGCUGAUACACUAUAGCUAAGACCCAAACUGGGAUUAGAUACCCCACUAUGCUUAGCCCUAAACAUAAAUAAUUAAUGAACAAAAUUAUUCACCAGAGUACUACCGGCAAUAGCCCAAAACUCAAAGGACUUGGCGGUGCUUUAUACCCCUCUAGAGGAGCCUGUUCUAUAAUCGAUAAACCCCGAUAAACCUCACCAAUCCUUGCUAAUACAGUCUAUAUACCGCCAUCUUCAGCAAACCCUUAAAAGGAACAAAAGUAAGCACAAUUACAACACAUAAAAACGUUAGGUCAAGGUGUAACCUAUGGAGUGGGAAGAAAUGGGCUACAUUUUCUAAUUCAAGAAUAACUCAAUACGAAAGUUAUUAUGAAACUAAUAACCAAAGGAGGAUUUAGUAGUAAACUAAGAAUAGAGCGCUUGGUUGAAUUAGGCCAUGAAGCACGCACACACCGCCCGUCACCCUCCUCAAGUAACUACGGCACACUCAAAACUAUUACACAUGCCAAGCAUAUGAGAGGAGAUAAGUCGUAACAAGGUAAGCAUACUGGAAAGUGUGCUUGGAUAAAC
This 955-nucleotide non-coding RNA is filed under the name Redunca fulvorufula (mountain reedbuck). Its description in RNAcentral is "partial 12S ribosomal RNA". It matches the Rfam family "Bacterial small subunit ribosomal RNA". Lineage: Eukaryota; Metazoa; Chordata; Mammalia; Artiodactyla; Bovidae. The record is from RNAcentral.